Molecule: ribosomal RNA, 465 nt
Filed under: uncultured bacterium
Lineage: Bacteria
Description: bacterial SSU rRNA
Rfam family: Bacterial small subunit ribosomal RNA
Source: RNAcentral
GGGCCCGCACAAGCGGUGGAACAUGUGGUUCAAUUCGACGCAACGCGAAGAACCUUACCUGGGCUUGAACCGCACAGGACCAGUUCCAGAAAUGGGACCUUCCCGCAAGGGACCUGUGUAGAGGUGCUGCAUGGCUGUCGUCAGCUCGUGCCGUGAGGUGUUGGGUUAAGUCCCGCAACGAGCGCAACCCUUACUCAUAGUUGCUACCCGCAAGGGAGAACUCUAUGAGGACUGCUCCGGAUAACGGAGAGGAAGGUGGGGAUGAGGUCAAGUCAGCAUGGCCUUUAUGUCCAGGGCUACACACGUGUUACAAUGCGCGCUACAGAGCGUUGCAAACCCGCGAGGGGGAGCUAAUCGCAAAAAAGCGCGCUCAGUUCGGAUUGCAGUCUGCAACUCGACUGCAUGAAGCCGGAAUCGCUAGUAAUGGCGCAUCAGAACGGCGCCGUGAAUACGUUCCCGGGCCUU